UAGCUACAGGCUUAACACAUGCAAGUCGAGGGGCAGCAUUUCAGUUUGCUUGCAAACUGGAGAUGGCGACCGGCGCACGGGUGAGUAACACGUAUCCAACCUGCCGAUAACUCGGGGAUAGCCUUUCGAAAGAAAGAUUAAUACCCGAUGGUAUAAUCAGACCGCAUGGUCUUGUUAUUAAAGAAUUUCGGUUAUCGAUGGGGAUGCGUUCCAUUAGGCAGUUGGUGAGGUAACGGCUCACCAAACCUUCGAUGGAUAGGGGUUCUGAGAGGAAGGUCCCCCACAUUGGAACUGAGACACGGUCCAAACUCCUACGGGAGGCAGCAGUGAGGAAUAUUGGUCAAUGGGCGCAGGCCUGAACCAGCCAAGUAGCGUGAAGGAUGACUGCCCUAUGGGUUGUAAACUUCUUUUAUAUGGGAAUAAAGUUUUCCACGUGUGGAAUUUUGUAUGUACCAUAUGAAUAAGGAUCGGCUAACUCCGUGCCAGCAGCCGCGGUAAUACGGAGGAUCCGAGCGUUAUCCGGAUUUAUUGGGUUUAAAGGGAGCGUAGGUGGACAGUUAAGUCAGUUGUGAAAGUUUGCGGCUCAACCGUAAAAUUGCAGUUGAUACUGGCUGUCUUGAGUACAGUAGAGGUGGGCGGAAUUCGUGGUGUAGCGGUGAAAUGCUUAGAUAUCACGAAGAACUCCGAUUGCGAAGGCAGCUCACUGGACUGCAACUGACACUGAUGCUCGAAAGUGUGGGUAUCAAACAGGAUUAGAUACCCUGGUAGUCCACACAGUAAACGAUGAAUACUCGCUGUUUGCGAUAUACAGUAAGCGGCCAAGCGAAAGCAUUAAGUAUUCCACCUGGGGAGUACGCCGGCAACGGUGAAACUCAAAGGAAUUGACGGGGGCCCGCACAAGCGGAGGAACAUGUGGUUUAAUUCGAUGAUACGCGAGGAACCUUACCCGGGCUUAAAUUGCAUUUGAAUAAUCUGGAAACAGGUUAGCCGCAAGGCAAAUGUGAAGGUGCUGCAUGGUUGUCGUCAGCUCGUGCCGUGAGGUGUCGGCUUAAGUGCCAUAACGAGCGCAACCCUUAUCUUUAGUUACUAACAGGUCAUGCUGAGGACUCUAGAGAGACUGCCGUCGUAAGAUGUGAGGAAGGUGGGGAUGACGUCAAAUCAGCACGGCCCUUACGUCCGGGGCUACACACGUGUUACAAUGGGGGGUACAGAAGGCAGCUACCUGGUGACAGGAUGCUAAUCCCAAAAGCCUCUCUCAGUUCGGAUCGAAGUCUGCAACCCGACUUCGUGAAGCUGGAUUCGCUAGUAAUCGCGCAUCAGCCAUGGCGCGGUGAAUACGUUCCCGGGCCUUGUACACACCGCCCGUCAAGCCAUGAAAGCCGGGGGUACCUGAAGUACGUAACCGCAAGGAGCGUCCUAGGGUAAAACUGGUAAUUGGGGCUAAGUCAUAACAA
RNAcentral lists this ribosomal RNA (1454 nucleotides) under uncultured organism. Its description in RNAcentral is "SSU rRNA". It matches the Rfam family "Bacterial small subunit ribosomal RNA". The record is from RNAcentral.